UACGGAAGGCAGCAGUGGGGAAUAUUGCACAAUGGGCGCAAGCCUGAUGCAGCCAUGCCGCGUGUAUGAAGAAGGCCUUCGGGUUGUAAAGUACUUUCAGUCGUGAGGAAGGUGUUAAGGUUAAUAACCUUAGCAAUUGACGUUAGCGACAGAAGAAGCACCGGCUAACUCCGUGCCAGCAGCCGCGGUAAUACGGAGGGUGCGAGCGUUAAUCGGAAUUACUGGGCGUAAAGGGCACGCAGGCGGUUAAUUAAGUUGGAUGUGAAAUCCCCGGGCUUAACCUGGGAAUGGCAUUCAAGACUGGUUAGCUAGAGUCUUGUAGAGGGGGUAGAAUUCCAUGUGUAGCGGUGAAAUGCGUAGAGAUGUGGAGGAAUACCGGUGGCGAAAGGCGGCCCCUGGACAAAAGACUGACGCUCAUGUGCGAAAGCGUGGGGAGCAAAACAGGAUUAGAUACC
This 455-nucleotide ribosomal RNA is filed under the name uncultured bacterium. Its description in RNAcentral is "bacterial SSU rRNA". It matches the Rfam family "Bacterial small subunit ribosomal RNA", at positions 340 to 786 of the family's 1533-position model. The record is from RNAcentral.